ACCAGACUCCUACGGGAGGCAGCAGUGGGGGAUAUUGCACAAUGGGGGAAACCCUGAUGCAGCAACGCCGCGUGGGUGAAGGAGCGUUUCGGCGCGUAAAGCCCUGUCAGCGGGGAAGAAGAAAGACGGUACCCGACCAAGAAGCCCCGGCUAACUACGUGCCAGCAGCCGCGGUAAUACGUAGGGAGCGAGCGUUGUCCGGAUUUACUGGGUGUAAAGGGUGCGUAGGCGGCUUGGCAAGUCAGUAGUGAAAUCCAUGGGCUUAACCCAUGAACUGCUAUUGAAACUGUCGAGCUUGAGUGAAGUAGAGGUAGGCGGAAUUCCCGGUGUAGCGGUGAAAUGCGUAGAGAUCGGGAGGAACACCAGUGGCGAAGGCGGCCUACUGGGCUUUAACUGACGCUGAGGCACGAAAGCGUGGGUAGCAAACAGGAUUAGAUACCCGAGUAAG
This 448-nucleotide ribosomal RNA is filed under the name uncultured bacterium. RNAcentral describes it as "bacterial SSU rRNA". It matches the Rfam family "Bacterial small subunit ribosomal RNA", at positions 330 to 793 of the family's 1533-position model. The record is from RNAcentral.